CAGGCCAUACGCUUAGCACCAGACGAACCGUGGUCCAACAUCUGGUGGCCCAAACGCAACUCUGACAGUUUCUACCUAAGCGACCUAAACCGUGGAGUCCUGAACUCAUUGCCCCCCGAAGCACAACAAGGCUUUACCAAUAAUACUCCAGUGCUGGAGCAAUGGGCGGAAGCAUCUGCCAACAUGUGCCCCACCCUCAGCAACCGCACCCUCGCC
This 216-nucleotide long non-coding RNA is filed under the name Chlamydomonas reinhardtii. RNAcentral's name for it is "long non-coding RNA (CREI_LNC001440)". The record is from RNAcentral. Lineage: Eukaryota; Viridiplantae; Chlorophyta; Chlorophyceae; Chlamydomonadales; Chlamydomonadaceae.